UUGCACGCUGGCGGCCGGCCUCACACAUGCAAGUCGCGCGGAUGAAGGGAGCUUGCUCCUGGAUUCAGCGGCGGACGGGUGAGUAAUGCCUAGGAAUCUGCCUGGUAGUGGGGGAUAACGUCCGGAAACGGGCGCUAAUACCGCAUACGUCCUGAGGGAGAAAGUGGGGGAUCUUCGGACCUCACGCUAUCAGAUGAGCCUAGGUCGGAUUAGCUAGUUGGUGGGGUAAAGGCCUACCAAGGCGACGAUCCGUAACUGGUCUGAGAGGAUGAUCAGUCACACUGGAACUGAGACACGGUCCAGACUCCUACGGGAGGCAGCAGUGGGGAAUAUUGGACAAUGGGCGAAAGCCUGAUCCAGCCAUGCCGCGUGUGUGAAGAAGGUCUUCGGAUUGUAAAGCACUUUAAGUUGGGAGGAAGGGCAGUAAGUUAAUACCUUGCUGUUUUGACGUUACCAACAGAAUAAGCACCGGCUAACUUCGUG
RNAcentral lists this ribosomal RNA (483 nucleotides) under uncultured bacterium. Its description in RNAcentral is "partial 16S ribosomal RNA". It matches the Rfam family "Bacterial small subunit ribosomal RNA", at positions 30 to 507 of the family's 1533-position model. The record is from RNAcentral.